Physeter macrocephalus (sperm whale) is the source of this 5336-nucleotide long non-coding RNA. RefSeq lists it as uncharacterized. The record is from RefSeq and is a predicted model, not a curated record. NCBI's taxonomy places the organism in Eukaryota, Metazoa, Chordata, Mammalia, Artiodactyla, Physeteridae. The transcript is spliced from 6 exons.
UAGAGACAUACAGCACGAAUAUUUCAGGUGGAUAUAUUAAUAAAUAUUUAAAUUUACAGCUAGGAAGAUCCUCAGAUGCAAUUUGGACCAGAUCCUUUGCAGCCACAGAUUCUCAAGGUCUUACUUCAUUCUCCAGGGAGUAAUUUUUUUCCAUAACUGUCCAAAAAUUUUGGAUUAAAAAAAAAAUCUUUAAACUCAUUAAUGUGCUUUGUUUACUGCCCCAACGCAUGCAAACUCUCCCAACAUCCGUUUGCUUAGUGGAAGUUGGUUUUGAGUGAACUGCGUGGCUCAGGUUCAAAUUCCAGUGAAGAAAUAUUUCCAAGUUGACUUGCAGAAUUUCCCAAACAGAGAAGUUCUUCCAUUUGGUUUGCCAGGAGAUUGGAAGCAGUGGUGAGCCCUGGAGACAAGGGAACGUUUACUGGCCCUUGUUCAUACCCUGCACAGUACAGCUCACAGCAGGCUGAAGGCGGUGCAGCGUGACCCGACCUGAUGUGCAGAAGUUCGCCCUGCAACUCCUCUGAGCUGCUCAACUCAAUGACGGGGCUAAUGGGAAAGGACUGACUCCACCACGCUGGAAGCUGUUGGAAGGGAAGGGAAAGAAUGAAUGCAGGCAAAAGGCAAGAGUGUUACAGAGCAUUUGAAAAUCACUGACACCUUCAUCUUGAGAGAAGCAGGCUUAAAUAUUUUCCAUCUUUGCACCCUCCCAAAGACGGCAUCACCCAUCUAGCCAUCCACCCACUCAUCCAACAUCGACCAUCAGCUCAUCACUGCCCUUGGUGCAGAAGACUGGUGAACAAGAUCCAUGAGCUCCAUUGAUGAACUUCAUAAAUUGGCUGUCCUCGCGCCUGGGCAAAAAGCUCUUGGUGCCCCGCUGUCUGAGAUCUGACAUCACGCCACCACGCUGGGCACCAUCCAGCCCAGCGACCCCUAGGUGCCCUGAGGUUUGAUGACUGCCAUGGGGAGACAGGGCGUCUGUGUUUACUGAUGACCUUGGACAGGCCAUCUAUCAUUGGAGACCUUUGCGACCCUCCGGGGAGAGCUGCCUGAUAGUGAAACAUCGGGAUGCCUGGAGCUAACAGGAGACAUUCUGGGAGAUUGCUAACCCUCUGGAGAAUGCAACCUCCCUGCACGUUGGCCUUCUUGACAGAACAGGAAAUACCACACUUGGGGUGAGCCGAACGCCCUGACCCCUUUCCCAAUCACUGCCGGGCUCUCUUCUCUGGUUUUCCUUCCCUUUUCUGCCAUAUCAUGUUCUGCCAUUGCCUGCCAAGCCCUUGUAUGUUUUGGCUGCUCCUUGGCCCUGAGCCUAUAAUCCUCUCCAACUUCUGACCCAGUUAAUUUACAAAAGCAAGAGCCCGAGUUCCAGCCAUUCAAAAAUCCAGAUUUCUUCCCCCCAGCUCUCAGGGAUGUAAUCAGCAGGACACAGUGCAUACAUGUAGCGGCUCCCUUUAAUGCUGGAGGAGGUGGCAACCUGCUGGCUAGAACCCUGUAAGCCUGGCCAGAGCAGCUGGGCCCAGGUCACAACCCUGUCCCCCUGAGUAGGGGACACUCAGACUUUGGGAUCUGUUGUCAGUUCUCUUUGUUGUUGCUUUUGGAGCUGGGUUGAACCCGGCUCCCGUGGCUGUCAAGCACAGCCCUGUCAGUCACAUGCUUAUCCAAACCCUUUCAGGAUGCUUUCUUAUUCUCUGCCACUGUAAUUCCUUGAGGGGAUAAAAUCCGUGUAUUAUUCCUGCUGUGUUGAAGUACGCCUUCAAUUAAAUUAUUCUAAUAUAACCUUGGUCACAUUUCGGGGUUGACCCUUAUUUUAGUGAGAGAGGCUCGGUGAGUGAAUCUGGGUCCCCUGCCUCUGCACCAUGCCUGUCUUUACAGGGGCCCACUUCAGCUGGAUGUUCAGUCAGCUCUGAGGCUUAUGACCUUAAACCCUCCUCCAACUACUGAAAACUCAUUUUGACAACUCGGGAUGGAACGGGGAGCUGGAAGCAAGGGGAGACACUGGAGUGUCCUCCGGCGCUCUGGACAAACCAGGCCACGGGACGGGGACCAGCAUGUCCUCAUCCACGAUCCCCAAAUCCAACAAGCUCUGCAAAGCAAAAGUUCUGGAAACUCACUUGGCAGCAAAACUGAUCCGAACUCACCUCAUUCAGCCGUAAAGCCUGACCUGGUGUGAGGCUAUCGACUGUUUCUCUUCAUUCAUACAUAUCGCUAUAUAAGUAAGAAUGUGUUUGAACACAGAGUGCAGCCCCAGACUCUCCUAGGGUGUUAUAUAAAUUAUGGUCUAAGCACUGUAUGGACUUUCUAAAAAAAAACAAAAACAAAGGAGUCAGACUCUGAGGCACAUCCAGUCCCAAGGGUUUUGGCUGGGACGCUCCGGCAUGAGGAGCCACCCCGAAAGGGUUAGGAAGAGGGCAUAAGCACGUAUUGGGACUGGCCUUCUCCAAAGCGUCUGCUUUGUAUUUCAGUACAGACCUUGGUUUCAUAAUACCAAUAUCUCAGAAGCCACAGGUGGAAGGUCUAAAACCUCGGAAGGUGUGACAGGCCCUUCUGGAGGUGGUACAACCCACCCCCAGAUGACUUCUAAUGCUUUAUUCUGGCACUGAGACCACCCAAAACCACACCACGGAGUUUAACUAAUCAUUCUCCUAUUGCUCCGUGGCCCUAUGUCAGUAAAUGUUGCAUGUCCUUGAAAAACAAACUACUCAAAUGCAAAGAUUGCAUGUAUAUUUUAGAAACUCUUGAUUCAGUCUCCACCAAUGGAAAGUUUAAUUGGCCACUUGGGUCAAGCCUGUUUUUCUAGUGCUCUGCCUGAGCCUGGGACACAGCAGACGCAGCAGCUUGACCCUCAGCAUGUAGCGUCUCCCGAGGCAGCCUGCUUCCCAGGCAGCUGUGAGCAGGGACGGAGCUGGCCCUUGGCCCACGUGGGACAGGGCACCAGCAGCCUCGCCGCCAGCUCCCGUGCACACUCUCCACCUCCUUUCUGCCUGCACCCUCUUCCUGCUUCUCCUCUUUCCCCUCUCACGCCUCUCCCCAGGCUCCCCGAGCAUGGGGAGCACACAAAACCGAUUCCACGCACCAGGCCAAAGAGAAACAUACCAACGUCAGCCUUGCUGGAAAAGUGGGAUAUAAGACAACGCACUUGGCUGACAAUGACAAUGUGAAUGGGGCUGGCUCUUUUCCAACCAACCAUAAGCCAGAAGUGGAUCUGGCACCUUCACGACGGGCCUCGGCAGCAGUAACCGCGCAACCAAGACAUGCCCACUCAGCAAGGCUUGGCAGGUGACUCGACUUCCCCUGGCCUCAGUUUCUCCACCUGUCAAGAGGAUACCUCCACAUUCACUGUGCUUUUAGCUCUUUGAAAAAAAAAAAUGUCUUCUAUGAACGGAAGGUGUUGGGCUUUAUAGCUCUCCGUUUGUGCAGCUUCCUAAUAUGGAUCUCCGAGGGGCCAUCUCUACACAAUAGAGGAUCUUCACUGUUACCCGUUCAGGUUUGCAUCUGGAUUGGACUAGGGCUUGCGAGAACCUGGAUUUUUGUGCCAUGUUUAUAAUGAAGCACUUUGACAGUGGGAACGAUGCUCAGGUUCCCAGAUAUCCAGCUUACUUUAGCAAACCGAGCUUUCCGUUGAAAUGAAAUUAGACUCUAUUGUGCAUAAGGGUUUCCGUCAGAGGCUCCCCCUGGCUUCUCUGCGUAAACCCUGGAAAAAGCCCUUCUUCUGUUUACUUGUCUGCUGAGCAUUUCUGGGAGUGCCGCGAGGGAGCAGGGAAUGGUGCUUGCUCAGCCCGAGAGCGUGCUAUCAGAUCGCCGUGUGCUCUAGUUAUCUUACCGGGCUACAACUGGGACGCUUCAAGUUAGGUUUUGGUUAUGAGAUCAAAGUACAGAUUUUGGGCAGAUAGGUGUUGCUCCACGAGUAUAGCUGAAAAUAAAGGAGUGACCUUGAGAAGGCAAAAUGAUGACUAGUUUUGUUUCUCUUUCCGCAUCUUAACCAGAUAAGCUCGGGACAGCUGUUUUUAUUAAGCCCACUCUGUUAAUAAAUACAGAAAUGACGGCUACUCAGGUGCCAUAACACACAAACGUUGUUUAAAGUUGAUAAUACAGUAUCACGAACAGCUCCUUUGUCCCAGAAACGUGAAAAAGGGACAGUGAGGGUAAGGGUGCCCACGGGGAAGGCCACGGAAACGCGCAGCGGUAGGUUAGAGCUGCCCUCUUCUCCUGCACUCUCCUCCCGCCCUCUCUCCUGCAUCUGCCACACUGGCCCAGAGAAACGUUGUGGGGGGAGGUGACAACACGACUCCAGGGCAUUUCAGGAAGGAUUCCCUCUGGAGGGAACACCAGGAGCUGAAAGAAAAAGCCUGCAGACUGUGGGUGGGGGCAGGGAGGACAAAGCACCCUCGGCUGAGAUUCGAAGAUUCACCCCACCUCCCAUUCUCCUGGCUGCAGAGUCCUAACUUCUUCCCACCCCAGGAGAAACCUGUUCUUGUCAUCAUGCUGGGCACAGUGGAUAUGAGAGUGCAGGAGACAAUGACGGGCUGCUGAACACAGAGGAAUUUAAGUCUACACUUCAGGCUCUGUCUGAGGCAUCUGAGUGGGACAGAGGGAGGACAAAGGUGGAGGCUUCUAAUUCUUUUAAGGAAAAUGCUAUACAUUCACUAUUUAUCUUCCUCUUCAAGUCAUUAUCAAGUGACUAGAUGCAUUCACGGAAGUCAGGCAGCUGUCAGUUGUUAAAAGAGUUGAAAGUGCUUCAAAUGGAUGAAUAAAUGUGAUACACGUAAGAGAAUGCUCCUGCUUUGUCAGAUCCUGCCGAAUUCCCGAAGCAGGUGUUCAGUUGAGAGCCAGGGCACUGAAUGGCCGGGACAUUCUGCCUAGAACGGUGCUGGGAUAUGGUGUUUGAACGGAUCACGGGGUCAGUUUCUCAGAGCAACUUUGAGGGCAGAGGCUACUUCGUGGCUGGGAAAAAAAAUGCUAUAUUUAUUUGUGGAGAUGAUGAAAUAGAGCUGAAAGGCUUUGCAGGCUAUGGGCAAAGUCUUGUUUUAAAAGCCUCAUAGGCAUAAUCUUUUCUCCCCCUGCCUAUAUCCAUCCAUGCAUGCAUCCAUGCAUUCACUUAGACUUCCUGAGAGUGUACUAUGGGGCAGACACUGUGCUGGGCAUGCGGAACACAGAAAAGGAGCCCCCUUCUCAGAGUUCAGAGCUACUGGGAAAUAGAGACACAAAAGACAAGGGUUUCAGCAGAGGUGUCCCCAGUGGCAUGGAAGCAAGCAGAAGGCGCAACCCAGGAAGAGACAUGGAGAAGGCUACACAAAGGAGGCGGUUUGGGCCGGGCUUUGAAGGAUUCGUAGGCAGGGAGU